RNA transcript from Osmia bicornis bicornis, 3383 nucleotides. It is a transcript of the gene named NADP-dependent malic enzyme, with no coding region annotated. The record is from RefSeq and is a predicted model, not a curated record. NCBI's taxonomy places the organism in Eukaryota, Metazoa, Arthropoda, Insecta, Hymenoptera, Megachilidae. The transcript is spliced from 12 exons.
GGCUAUUCUCGCGGCGGGCUCGUCCAGCCACAGCGUCCCGACGUAUUCAUUCACUCACACUCGAUCGGUGAGACGGUUCGCGUCUCUCUAUAUACGGGAGCGUAGCGAGAGGUUGGUUGGCAAGGAAGAGAUCGACGUGCAUUACACACCGAUAUGAGUUGCAUCGUGUAGAAGCGCAUCGGUGCGUAUGCGUGACCGGGUGCAUGGACGAACUUGAGGCCGAAAGGGAAAAGAGAGAAGGUGUGCGAGAGUAGUAGACAGAGCGGCGCGGCGGCGGUGAGCGCGGGCAAACGAUUCGGCAUUGGUGCUCAGGUACGAAUUAGCCGAAAACGCGCAGUCGCGCGUUGUUCCUGUCGGGUGGGAGGUGAUCAGCUGUGAGCACGCGAGCAGCGAGAUGUUCGUCCUGCAGAGAUCUAUAUUAUCGUCCAGCAGCAGGAAUUGUGCAGGAUUAUGGGCACGAUUACUGCCACCCACGCAUCCUGCAGCAAAGGAUGUUCAACAGCGGGACAUUCACGAGGUAUCCGGAGAUGUGAUACCUAUCAAUAUGGUGAAAGGUAUCGGUCAUCUGAGGGAUCCUCGACUUAACAAGGGUUUAGCAUUUACUCUGGAAGAAAGAAUAUCCUUGGGUAUACACGGUCUGCAGCCCCCGAGAUUUAAAACUCAGGAAGAACAGCUGGCUCUGUGCAAGGCUUCAGUAAUGAAAUAUACCGAGGAUUUAAAUCGAUAUCUCUAUCUAGUGGAAUUGCAGGAAAGAAACGAAAGAUUAUUUUUCCGUCUGUUGAGCGAGAACAUCGAACAAAUGAUGCCUAUCGUUUAUACACCUACUGUUGGAUUAGCCUGUCAAAAGUUUGGUGUUAUUUAUCGUAGACCUCGUGGACUAUUCAUCACCAUAUAUGAUAAAGGACACAUCUAUGAAAUCUUAAACAACUGGCCCGAGCAAGCGGUUCGCGCGAUUUGCGUAACAGAUGGAGAGAGGAUUCUAGGUCUCGGCGAUCUGGGUGCUUGCGGAAUGGGAAUUCCCGUAGGGAAAUUGGCUCUUUAUACAGCUUUGGCUGGUAUUAAACCGCAUCAAUGCCUACCAAUCACCAUCGACGUGGGCACUAAUAACGAACAGCUUCGAGAUGAUCCUCAUUAUAUCGGUCUGAACAAGCCCAGGAGUCAGGGCGCCGAAUACGAUGAAUUGAUCGAUGAAUUUAUGGCAGCUUGCGUGAAGAAAUAUGGUCAAAAUGUUCUCAUUCAAUUCGAAGACUUUGGUAACCACAAUGCCUUCCGUUUUCUGGACAAAUACCGGGACAAGUAUUGCACGUUUAACGAUGACAUACAAGGUACCGCGGCUGUUGCGGUCGCCGGAAUUUUAGCUUCCAAGAGAGUCACGAAGAAAAAAAUGUCCGACAAUAAGUUUGUCUUCUUGGGUGCUGGUGAGGCUGCCAUUGGAAUAGCUGACCUUUGCGUGAAAGCAAUGGAAGCAGACGGGUGCACGGAACAGGGGGCUCGUGAUAGUAUUUGGAUGAUGGACAUCGAUGGAUUAUUGGUUAAAAAUCGACCCGAGGGUAAUCUGGAGGGUCAUAAGAUCUGGUACGCGAAAGAGCAUAAAGUGAUGAAGUCUUUACUAGAGGUCGUGAAGGAAGUAAAGCCGACGGUAUUGAUUGGCGCAUCGGCGGCCGCGGGAGCAUUCACUCCUGAAGUAUUAAAAGAAAUGGCGAAGAACAAUGAAAGGCCAUUAAUUUUUGCGUUGAGCAAUCCGACUAGCAAAGCAGAAUGCACGGCGCAGCAAGCUUACGAUCACACUAAUGGAAAAUGCAUUUUCUCAUCAGGAUCUCCGUUUGGAGAGGUCAAGCACAAUGGAAAAAUCUAUAAACCCGGACAAGGAAACAACGCGUACAUAUUUCCUGGAAUUGCAUUAGGUGUAAUCGCAACUGGGUGUCAUCAUAUUACCGAGGAUCUUUUCCUUAUCUCGGCUGAAACUGUUGCUAAUCAUGUGAAAGAUGAAGAUCUUGAGAUGGGUAGUCUUUAUCCACCUUUAGGUACCAUUCGUGAAUGUUCCAUCGACAUUGCUAUUCGAAUUGCUAACUACGCGUAUGCGAAAAUUGGAUUAGCCAGCGAAUAUCCAGAGCCAAAAGACAAAUUGCAGUUUAUUAAGAGUAAAAUGUACGAUGCCAACUAUGACAGCCCACUGCCAAAUCUUUACGACUGGCCCGGAGAUUAUGCCAAGCCACGUAUUUUGCCGGAGAAAGACACUGUAGAAAUCCGCCACGAUUUAAAAGGUCUGUAGCGGAUUUUAUCCAGCUGGAUAUACAGAGGCUAUCAUUAUUAACAUUAUCGAUAAAAUUAUGACGUGUUGGCGAGUCUAAUGACGAGACGACUAUUCUGACGUAUUCAUAGUCGUUUCACGUUAAUUCUGUCAGGUUUGAGACUAAGCACGGCAUGAACAGUGGUCAAAUUCAUAAUCCAUUUGAAAAAGAAAAUUAUUGCGAAAAUGUGAGGAAUUCAACGUUUUCCAUCGAACUUUAUCUUUCAUUUUUUUUUUUUCUUUCUUUUGCGUAUCGAUACUUUGUACUUAAUUUAUUAUUAACUUAACGUCUCCUGACUAUUCACUAAUUUUCUAGCCGGAAUUUCGUUGACUGUAUCUCGGAUAUUUAUUUUAUUUAUUACUGGUAUGUUGCUUUAAGCUGAACGAUCAACACUAAUAAUUGAUGGUACGUGAACUAUAUCGCUUUAGUCGCUUGUAACAAUGAAUUAGUGAAUAGUUGCUUCUAGUAAUUAUGUCGCAUGUGUAUCGAUAUCGACGACAGAUUCAUCGAGUUGUACAUUUUAAGUUUCGUAUUAACGCAUCAACACAAGUAUUAUUUUCCAUGAGCAUCGAGUUAAACGUGUUGGACUACGCAAAGAAUUAUUUCAAAUAUUUUUUGUCAGGAAGAGAUGUCUUUUUAUCCAAUUAAGUAUCUACUAUGUAAGGCCGUACAAGUUGUCGCACCGAUUUCAUAACUGUAUCGAUAAGCACUUACGAUCAGGAACAGCAGAAAGACGACAAUUGUAACAGAAGAAAAAAAAGAAAUAACCGUAUUUUUUGUACCAUAUUGUAAUUGCCACUUUUACGUUAAGUAAAUGUAUGAAAACGAGAAUUCUGUCUGAAGGUUCCUAUAUGUUACGUGAAAUAGAAACACUGAUGAACAAUAUUGAUUAUACCGUUACUGCCUCACUAUAACUGUAACGAAGCAUCUAAUCGAAUAGAAAUUUAAAUUGUCUAUGUAUUCAUAGUAAACCGUGAUUUUAUCGCGAAUAUAAGAGCGAGAAAAGGAAAUUACUAAUCGUUCGUUCAUUAGGAUUUGUUACUAUGGCAUUAUAUACUAAGGCUAUGAAUAAACGUUAAACUAUGAUCGUUA